This 461-nucleotide ribosomal RNA is filed under the name Mesobacillus thioparans. RNAcentral's name for it is "bacterial SSU rRNA". It matches the Rfam family "Bacterial small subunit ribosomal RNA", at positions 78 to 524 of the family's 1533-position model. The record is from RNAcentral. Lineage: Bacteria; Bacillati; Bacillota; Bacilli; Caryophanales; Bacillaceae.
GCUUGCUUUUGAAGAUCAGCGGCGGACGGGUGAGUAACACGUGGGCAACCUGCCUGUAAGACUGGGAUAACUUCGGGAAACCGGAGCUAAUACCGGAUAAUCCUUUCCCUCACAUGAGGGAAAGCUGAAAGACGGUUUCGGCUGUCACUUACAGAUGGGCCCGCGGCGCAUUAGCUAGUUGGUGAGGUAACGGCUCACCAAGGCCACGAUGCGUAGCCGACCUGAGAGGGUGAUCGGCCACACUGGGACUGAGACACGGCCCAGACUCCUACGGGAGGCAGCAGUAGGGAAUCUUCCGCAAUGGACGAAAGUCUGACGGAGCAACGCCGCGUGAACGAUGAAGGCUUUCGGGUCGUAAAGUUCUGUUGUCAGGGAAGAACAAGUACCGGAGUAACUGCCGGUACCUUGACGGUACCUGACCAGAAAGCCACGGCUAACUACGUGCCAGCAGCCGCGGUAAU